AGUUUGAUCCUGGCUCAGAUUGAACGCUGGCGGCAGGCCUAACACAUGCAAGUCGAACGGUAACAGGAAGCAGCUUGCUGUUUCGCUGACGAGUGGCGGACGGGUGAGUAAUGUCUGGGAAACUGCCUGAUGGAGGGGGAUAACUACUGGAAACGGUAGCUAAUACCGCAUAACGUCGCAAGACCAAAGAGGGGGACCUUCGGGCCUCUUGCCAUCGGAUGUGCCCAGAUGGGAUUAGCUAGUAGGUGGGGUAACGGCUCACCUAGGCGACGAUCCCUAGCGGGUCUGAGAGGAUGACCAGCC
Molecule: ribosomal RNA, 303 nt
Filed under: Escherichia coli
Lineage: Bacteria; Pseudomonadati; Pseudomonadota; Gammaproteobacteria; Enterobacterales; Enterobacteriaceae
Description: bacterial SSU rRNA
Rfam family: Bacterial small subunit ribosomal RNA
Source: RNAcentral